CUACGGGGUGCUCCAGCUAAGAAUCUUCCGCAAUGGACGAAAGUCUGACGGAGCGACGCCGCGUGAACGAUGAAGGCCGUGAGGUUGUAAAGUUCUUUUCCGAGGGGAGAAUAAGGAUGGCAGGGAAUGGCCGUCUGAUGACGUGAACUCGGGAAUAAGCCCCGGCUAACUACGUGCCAGCAGCCGCGGUAACACGUAGGGGGCGAGCGUUGUUCGGAAUCAUUGGGCGUAAAGGGUGCGCAGGCGGUUAUGCAAGUCUGGUGUGAAAGGUCUCGGCUCAACCGAGGAAACGCGCUGGAAACUGUGUAACUAGAGUACAGGAGGGGGAGUUGGAAUUCCAGGUGUAGGGGUGAAAUCUGUAGAUAUCUGGAAGAACACCGGUGGCGAAGGCGAACUUCUGGCCAUGUACUGACGCUGAGGCACGAAGGCGUGGGGAGCAAACAGGAUUAGAUACCCUGGUAGUC
This 464-nucleotide ribosomal RNA is filed under the name uncultured bacterium. RNAcentral's name for it is "partial 16S ribosomal RNA". It matches the Rfam family "Bacterial small subunit ribosomal RNA", at positions 339 to 795 of the family's 1533-position model. The record is from RNAcentral.